CGAAGCACCUCGCGGCGCUGCCUGCGGGACCGACCCUCGCGCGCCCGCCAGGUAGAGCGGCGUUCCCCGCGCACCUCCGCUCCCGCUCGCUUAGGUCCUGCAGGCGCUGGUUGAGGCUCUCGCUCUUGGCCUCGAGCCCGCGCAUCAGCUUCUCUAGCUCCUGCUUCCGCUGGCGACCAUCUCGGUUAUCCUUCUGCAACUGCAGCAGCAGCUCCUGCGUCGCGGCCAUGGCUGUGGAGACCGAGCCUAAAUGCCGCCCGCCUCGGGGACCCGGCCUGCGGCUGGCAGGCGUCACAAUGGGCGGCAGGGAGCGCCUAGUGGGCUGGAUCACAAUGGGCGGUAGGGGAAGCCCGAGCGUAGCCCGACACAUGCCUCUUCUCACGCCGGCCGGAGGCGGGUCAGGCCGGAUCACACUUAGUCCAUCACUGAUGAAAACUGUGUCAAAGAGCCGCAAUUGGAUCAAUGAAAGGUUAAUGAAAUACUAAUACCAAAUGCAGAUCCAGAUACCUAAUAAGAUGCUGGAAUGUAAUCCCUGGACAAUCCGUGUCCUGGCAGCAUUUGGUCUUCCUCUAAGCGCCUGGCUCCGCUGUUCUCAGGAGUGGGUUCUGAAGUCUCUGGAGAACAGGAUACGUGGAGGGUUAGGAAGGGGCCAGGCCUAGAGAUGGGAGACUCCCUCCCGGAGCAGGUGGAGGCACAGGACCAUUCGCUACCCCAUCUGCCGGCACCUGCGGGGGAGCCCAGGCAUUCUUUGUAAACCCUCCUGACUACCUGGCUCAAAGAAAACAGAAGCAUGGAGGCCGCCAAGUAUUUUCAAGAAAUAAUCCCAUGAACAUGGCAUCACUUUUUUAGAAAGAGGGGCUUGGGGCAGGCAGAGGAGAGAAGGGAGAGCAAACUGAGAGCCAAGUUUCCAGACGGUCCUGCAGGAGGAGAGGAUGCAGCUGCCCAGAGGGAAGCAGGAUCACAUUUAAGGAAGUGUGUGCGGUCCCUGGAUGACACCAGCACCCAGUACGGCUCUGUCUGGCAACCGCUCCCAAGGUGGCAGGAGUGGGUGUCCCCUGUGUGUCAGUGGGCAGCUCCUGCUGAGCCCGCAGCUCACUGGGGAGCCUGACAGCGGGGCCAUGCACCUGACACUCCUCUCUGCUUGUGGACCUGAUGAGGCAGGGAGCAGAAAACAGAGCCACUUGAAGGCUUUCUGUCUGCGUCUUUGUGCAGUGUGGAUUUAGUUGUGCUUUUUUCUUGCUGGGAGAGCACAGCCACCAUUUACAAGCAGUGUCACCCUCAUGGGUGGUGAGGACAGAACAGGAGCCUCUGCUCUCUGUACCUAUCUGGGCCCGGUGGGCUCCCCUGUCCUGGCUUCCAUCUCUGUCUCAGUGACCAUUCAGCCCUGCACAGGAACACAUGUUGCUUAGAAAAGCCAAAUCCAGCCUUGUCUCUGCCUCCUCUGGUCUCAUGAUGUGCAUCUGUUACCUUGAAACUGGAAACCAGUCUAUCAAUGUCUGUGCCAAUUUUUUAUUCCCUCCCCAACCUCCUUCCCCAUACGACUUUUUAUUUAUGUAGGAUGUGUGCUGUCUAAUGAUGGGAUGACCACACUUUUCCAUGUUCUAAAAGUGCUCCUCUCCCGCAGGGUCCCAGGGCUGGUGGUUGCUUUGGGUCUACAGCUACAUCUUACCCGCCUCCUGCCUCAAAAGCCUGUGUGGUGGCAAAGCCGGUGUGGGGCUGGGGAACGCAGCGUUCUCCAGGAGGGGGACCUGGCUCUCCUUCUGCAAUGCAGGCGAAGGCCUAGAUGCCAGUGUGACCUCCCACAAGGCAUGGCUUCCAGACUCCCCGACCAGAAGUGAUGCUUUUUUGCCUCGGGCCCUGGGUUUGAAGCAGCCUGGCUUUCUCUUGGUAAGUGGCUGGUGUCUUAGCAGCUGCAAUCUGAGCUCAGCCACCUACACACCACCAUGGCCGACACUUUCAUUAAAAAGUUUCCUGAGACGACUUGCAUGCAUGUUGAUUUCAUGAUCAGCGCCGCUGGGAAGAACCCCUGAGCCGGUGGGGUGGGGCUGGAAGCAGCAGGUGCAGUGAUGGGGCUGGGUGCCCAGGAGGCCUCAGUGCUCAAUCAGGCCAAGGUGGCCAAGCCCAGGCUGCAGGGAAGGCCGGCCUGGGGGGUGUGGGUGAGCACAGGUAGGCACCAGCUGGGCAGUGUUAGGAUGCUGGAGCAGCAUCCGUAACUCCACUGAGUGGGGUAGUCUGGUUGGGGCAGGGACCGCUGCUGCUUUGGCAGAGAGAGAUGAUCCCCACUGGGGAGAGGCUGUCUGACUCUGCAGGUGGGACAGGGACAGAUGGCCACCAGGGUAACCCGGCUGGUCUUCCUUUGCUACGCUAAGCACUGGGACAUGGAGGAUUCCCGCCACACACAGCCUGGGCCCGGGUUCUUACCUGUGGCCACCGCUCUGGCAUGAGCCCCUCAGUCUUGGGUGGUUUCUGCCUGGUCCGGGAUUUGGUGUUGCUGCUGAGUCCAGCCUUUCCACCACCUCCGCAUGGGCCGUGGAUGUUGUCAGCUGCCUCCCGCCUUGGCUUCAGUAGCUCACCCAGCUUACAGGGGAGCUGCCCUGGGCUGGAGAUGGGCAUGCACCCUGGGUCCUACUUGAAUGAAUGCAGCUUGAGGAGACCCGGCCAUAUCCACUGGGCCACAGGUUACCCUCAGCAAUGCCCACAUCAGCCGUCAGCCUGAGCCUCCCCAGGAGAGCAAGGCUCACACGACAAAGGCUGCCCGUGGCCAAUGAGGUGGCUGAGCCCAGCCAGGACCUUUCUCGGACUCCUGGGAUGUGGCUCUGCUCGUGAGCUGCCUGGUCAGCUCUCUCGGGGUGAGAGGGGCUUGUCACACGGGCCCCUGCCUGCAGUGUGACCCUUCUCAGCUUCUCUCAGCAGCCCUGCCUGCGGAGUGUCACCGCCACCAUGAUCAUUUCCCUGACACUGCGAGGGUGUGGGGACGUCCUGGGUAGAGACAGGGCCUGUGGCAGCAGCAGGCUCAGGGGCGCCCUGCACUGGUGGGCUGGGGACCUGGUGGAGACCACGCCAAGGGCUGGACAAGGGGACGAGCCUCCACCCUGGCCUCUCCGCAGGCCUCAGCAGCCCCUCCCACAGGCAGAAGGGUUGACACUGGGUUCUGCCCUCACUGCAAGAGCUGCAAGUGCCACGUGCUGUUCUGCCCAAUCUGGUGUCUGCAGGUGAGGGAAGGGCUGCCGCUGGCCCGUUUCUGAGUGUUCAGCACCUAAGGGUGACAGCACUGUCUGUUCCUACCCUCCGGGUCCUGUUUGAAAAUCAAACCCAUGCUCACAGGCCAAUUUUUUUUCUUUUAGAGACAGGGUCUCACUUUGUCACCCAAGCUGGAGUGCAGUGGUGCGAUUAUAGCUCAAUGCAGCCUCCAAUUCCCGGACCCAAGGGACCUUCCUGCCUCAGCCUGCCAAGUAGCUUGGACUAUAGCUGUGUGUUUUCUUAUUAUUUUGUAGACAUGGGGUCUGGCUAUGUUGUCCAGGCUAUUCUCAAAAUUCCCAGCCUCAAGCAAUCCUCCUGCCUCGGCCUCUCAAAGGUUGGGAUUACAGGUGUGAGGCAAGGCACCCAGCUCAGCCACAGAGCCCUAUUGCAUCUCUCUUACUAGGAGCAAGAGCUGACUGCCCCCUCAUCCCCAUUCCAGAGUGUUGGGGCUGUGUUCAGCCGAGGCCGGGCCACUGGCAUGGCCCAGGGAGUGGGAUCAUUCACUGCUGCCCCAAAUCUGAGAUCAUUCCACCUUGACAAGACUUCCUCAUCCAAUCCCUUUACUUGACAGCUGGGGAAACCAAUGCGCACAGAGCACCCCCAGCUCACUCGGGGUCUCAGAGCUGAUCCAUGAGCAGAGGCCGAGAUCCUGGGAUCUUGUCCCCCAGCCUCCCUGCAAGCUUACUCCCUUUCUGCUGGAAGAGAUGGGGCCAGACCUCGACCAGCAGCCCUGGCCUGGACAUGACUGUGCUCACGCAGGUAUUGAGGCCAAGAUGCCCCGGCAUCAUAUGUUUUUCUUUCCUUUUUUUUUUUUUUUUUUGAGAUGGUGUCUCACUCUGUCACCCAAGCUGGAGUGCAGUGGCAUGAUAUUGGCUCGCUGCAACCUCUGCCUCCCGGUUAAAGUGAUUCUCCUGCCUCAGUCUUCCAAGUAGCUGGGCCUACAGGCUUGUACCACCACGCCUGACUAAUUUUUGUGUUUUUACUAGAGACGGGGUUUCCCCAUGUUGGCCAGGCUCGUGUCGAACUCCUGACCUCAGGUGAUCCACCUGCCUUGGCCUCCCAAAGUGCUAGGAUUACAGGCAUGAGCCAUGGCAUCACUUAAAUGUAGUGACAGGCCGGGCUCAGUGGCUCAUGCCUGUAAUCCCAGUACUUUGAGAGGACGAAGCUGUCAGAUCACCUAAGGUCAGGAGUUCGAGACCAGCCUGGCCAACAUGGUGAAACCGUGUCUCUACAAAAAAAUAGAAAAAAAAAAUCCCUGCGUGGUGGUGAGUACCUGUAGUCCCAGUUACUCAGGAGGCUGAGGCAUGAGAAUCGCUUAAACCUUGGAGGCAGAGGCUGCAGUG
Molecule: long non-coding RNA, 4583 nt
Filed under: Pan troglodytes (chimpanzee)
Lineage: Eukaryota; Metazoa; Chordata; Mammalia; Primates; Hominidae
Description: long non-coding RNA NONPTRT009703
Source: RNAcentral